UGGUUUCCGGAUAAUAACUCAAGAACGCUUAGGCCUAGGAUCAUGAAACUUCAUAGGUACAUUGAUCAUGACUGACAGAUGACCCCUAUUGAUUUUCAGGUCAUUAGGUCAAAGGUCAAGGUCACAGUGACUCGAAAUAGUAAAAUGGUUUCCGGAUAAUAACUCAAGAACGCUUAGGCCUAGGAUCAUGAAACUUCAUAGGUACAUUGAUCAUGACUGGCAGAUGACCCCUAUUGAUUUUCAGGUCACUAGGUCAAAGGUCAAGGUCACGGUGACCCAAAAUAGUAAAAUGGUUUCCGGAUGAUAACUGAAGAAUGCUUAUGCCUAUGAUCAUGAAACUUCAUAGGUACAUUGAUCAUGACUGGCAGAUAACCCCUAUUGAUUUUCAGGUCAUUAGGUCAAAGGUCAAGGUCACGGUGACCCGAAAUAGUAAAAUGGUUUCCCGAUGAUAACUCAAGAACGCUUAUGGCUAGGAUCAUGAAACUUCAUAGGUACAUUGAUCAUGAUUCGAAGAUGACCCCUAUUGAUUUUCAGGUCACUAAGUCAAAGGUCACGGUCACUGUGACAAAAAACAUAUUCACACAAUGGCUGUCACUACAACUGAGAGCCCAUAUGGGGGGCAUGCGUGUUUUACAAACAGCCCUUGUUCAUUUAGAAACACGCUAUUUAUAGCUUCAAAUUGUAAAUUAAUAUGUUGUUUUUUGCAUAACGGUACAUCAUUGAGGUUGUAAGGACUUUGUAUUUGUGUUUAUUAUUUUCGCUUUUUGUCACAUGGCCAAUACAUGAUUCAUAGGA
Dreissena polymorpha is the source of this 795-nucleotide long non-coding RNA. RefSeq lists it as uncharacterized. The record is from RefSeq and is a predicted model, not a curated record. NCBI's taxonomy places the organism in Eukaryota, Metazoa, Mollusca, Bivalvia, Myida, Dreissenidae. The transcript has 2 exons.